GAUGAACGCUAGCGGCAGGCCUAACACAUGCAAGUCGAGGGGCAGCGCAAAGAUAGUUUACUAUUUUGGCGGCGACCGGCGCACGGGUGAGUAACGCGUAUGCAACCUACCUUAUACAGGAGUAUAGCCCGAAGAAAUUCGGAUUAAUCCUCCAUAGUAUUCUUUAAUGGCAUCAUUUGAAGAAUUAAAGCUUCGGCGGUAUAAGAUGGGCAUGCGUCCUAUUAGCUAGAUGGUAAGGUAACGGCUUACCAUGGCUACGAUAGGUAGGGGGCCUGAGAGGGUGAUCCCCCACACUGGUACUGAGACACGGACCAGACUCCUACGGGAGGCAGCAGUGAGGAAUAUUGGGCAAUGGGCGCAAGCCUGACCCAGCCAUGCCGCGUGCAGGAAGAAUGCCCUAUGGGUUGUAAACUGCUUUUAUUUAGGAAUAAACCCCUUUACGUGUAGAGGGCUGAAUGUACUAAACGAAUAAGCACCGGCUAACUCCGUG
This 490-nucleotide ribosomal RNA is filed under the name uncultured bacterium. RNAcentral's name for it is "bacterial SSU rRNA". It matches the Rfam family "Bacterial small subunit ribosomal RNA", at positions 28 to 507 of the family's 1533-position model. The record is from RNAcentral.